This 507-nucleotide ribosomal RNA is filed under the name uncultured bacterium. Its description in RNAcentral is "partial 16S ribosomal RNA". It matches the Rfam family "Bacterial small subunit ribosomal RNA", at positions 35 to 539 of the family's 1533-position model. The record is from RNAcentral.
GACGAACGCUGGCGGCGUGCUUAACACAUGCAAGUCGAACGGAAAGGCCCUGCUUUUGUGGGGUGCUCGAGUGGCGAACGGGUGAGUAACACGUGAGUAACCUGCCCUUGACUUUGGGAUAACUUCAGGAAACUGGGGCUAAUACCGGAUAGGAGCUCCUGCUGCAUGGUGGGGGUUGGAAAGUUUCGGCGGUUGGGGAUGGACUCGCGGCUUAUCAGCUUGUUGGUGGGGUAGUGGCUUACCAAGGCUUUGACGGGUAGCCGGCCUGAGAGGGUGACCGGCAACAUGAGACAUGAGAUGCCCACCAACCAGCAGCGGGAGCAGGUAGGGGGAAAGAGGGAAAGGGGGGCGGACGCCGGAACAAGGCACGGGGGGGGCGGGAGACCGGCCUUCGGGUGGUACACCGCUUCGGCCUGUGGAGAAGCGGAAGUGGGGGGAAUGGAUAAAAAAGCACCUCCUAACUCGGGGCCAGAAGCCGCGUAAUAAUCGAAAAGCACAAGCCAGAAC